RNAcentral lists this ribosomal RNA (253 nucleotides) under uncultured bacterium. Its description in RNAcentral is "partial 16S ribosomal RNA". It matches the Rfam family "Bacterial small subunit ribosomal RNA", at positions 524 to 776 of the family's 1533-position model. The record is from RNAcentral.
UACGUAGGGGGCAAGCGUUGUCCGGAUUUAUUGGGCGUAAAGAGCGUGUAGGCGGCCAGGGAGGUCCGUUGUGAAAACUCGAGGCUCGACCUCGAGACGCCGAUGGAAACCCCCUGGCUAGAGUCCGGAAGAGGAGAAUGGAAUUCCUGGUGUAGCGGUGAAAUGCGCAGAUAUCAGGAAGAACACCCGUGGCUAAGGCGGUUCUCUAGUACGGUACUGACGCUGAGACGCGAAAGCGUGGGGAGCGAACAGG